RNAcentral lists this ribosomal RNA (926 nucleotides) under uncultured Bacteroidota bacterium. RNAcentral describes it as "bacterial SSU rRNA". It matches the Rfam family "Bacterial small subunit ribosomal RNA", at positions 1 to 917 of the family's 1533-position model. The record is from RNAcentral. Lineage: Bacteria; Pseudomonadati; Bacteroidota.
UGGAUCCAGACUUUGAUCCUGGCUCAGGAUGAACGCUAGCUACAGGCUUAACACAUGCAAGUCGAGGGGAAACGAUAUUGGAAGCUUGCUUCCGAUAGGCGUCGACCGGCGCACGGGUGAGUAACGCGUAUCCAACCUGCCCAUCACUUGGGGAUAACCUUGCGAAAGUAAGACUAAUACCCAAUGACGUCUCUAGAAGACAUCUGAAAGAGAUUAAAGAUUUAUCGGUGAUGGAUGGGGAUGCGUCUGAUUAGCUUGUUGGCGGGGUAACGGCCCACCAAGGCAACGAUCAGUAGGGGUUCUGAGAGGAAGGUCCCCCACAUUGGAACUGAGACACGGUCCAAACUCCUACGGGAGGCAGCAGUGAGGAAUAUUGGUCAAUGGACGAGAGUCUGAACCAGCCAAGUAGCGUGCAGGAUGACGGCCCUAUGGGUUGUAAACUGCUUUUAUAAGGGAAUAAAGUGAGUCUCGUGAGACUUUUUGCAUGUACCUUAUGAAUAAGGACCGGCUAAUUCCGUGCCAGCAGCCGCGGUAAUACGGAAGGUCCGGGCGUUAUCCGGAUUUAUUGGGUUUAAAGGGAGCGUAGGCCGGAGAUUAAGCGUGUUGUGAAAUGUAGACGCUCAACGUCUGCACUGCAGCGCGAACUGGUUUCCUUGAGUACGCACAAAGUGGGCGGAAUUCGUGGUGUAGCGGUGAAAUGCUUAGAUAUCACGAAGAACUCCGAUUGCGAAGGCAGCUCACUGGAGCGCAACUGACGCUGAAGCUCGAAAGUGCGGGUAUCGAACAGGAUUAGAUACCCUGGUAGUCCGCACGGUAAACGAUGGAUGCCCGCUGUUGGUCUGAAUAGGUCAGCGGCCAAGCGAAAGCAUUAAGCAUCCCACCUGGGGAGUACGCCGGCAACGGUGCAACUCAAAUGAAUUGACGGA